GAAUGAUCUCUUGGGUAACGAUGUUACUGGUUCCAUAGACUCUGAUAUAGUCUGCUUUCCAAGAUUCCAUGAAACGAGAUCACACACCAUUUGUAUACACUACCAGUACCAGGCACAACUAUUUGAGCCAUUAUCCGACAUCUCCCCCCACUGUAUACCCUCACAUGGCUUCAGCCUCAGACACUGUCCCCGUGAGUCCGUGACUAUGCAUGAUGUUUCGUACAAUCACGUGGGACCGGUUGAAUCAACUGGUUUUAGGAUAAACCAGCAACAUCCCCUAGACGAAUUUGUACCUGCAGCGACUCUUAGACUGACUAUAUAGCAGUUCCCGCUGAUGAAGCUGCAGUGUUUUGGGAAGGGGAUUUCUAGGACGCUGUUAAUCAUGUUGAUCAUCGUCAAGACAUGCGGUUGGACAUAGAGGACAUGGCUUAUGAGGAGUUUCUUGCUUUGAGCGACCAUAUUGGAACUGUCAAGACUGGCUGUUACACAUAUUCUUCUGAAAAGGAGAACCUCUUGUCGACCAGAAUCAACCUGGAAGAAGCUCCAUCAACCAAUCUGGAAACAGAUUCUUGCAACCUAGUAGAAGUUAAUGGUUUUUUUUGGACAUGCUUUUAUAUAAUGGUUUCAUAAGAGAAACAGAGUAAACCUGUAACUAGUGGCUCAGUGACUAAGAAAACUGUACAGCUUCUUGGUUCCUUGUACAUUUGAUUUGGUACUCUGAAGUUUAGUUUUGCAUUCAUCUAAAGCACCCUUUUAUGUUCAUAGAUUGACUAAUAUGAUCAUGUAAACAU
Raphanus sativus (radish) is the source of this 791-nucleotide long non-coding RNA. RefSeq lists it as uncharacterized. The transcript is spliced from 3 exons. The record is from RefSeq and is a predicted model, not a curated record. Lineage: Eukaryota; Viridiplantae; Streptophyta; Magnoliopsida; Brassicales; Brassicaceae.